GUCUGAGCAUGGCAUAGUGGUUGAGCAUUGGAUUACAACUCUGGAGACCAAGGUUUGAAUCCUUGCUCAGCUG
This is a non-coding RNA of Phrynosoma platyrhinos (Desert horned lizard), 73 nucleotides long. NCBI's taxonomy places the organism in Eukaryota, Metazoa, Chordata, Lepidosauria, Squamata, Phrynosomatidae. The record is from the annotation of a GenBank genome assembly.